Molecule: ribosomal RNA, 232 nt
Filed under: uncultured bacterium
Lineage: Bacteria
Description: partial 16S ribosomal RNA
Rfam family: Bacterial small subunit ribosomal RNA
Source: RNAcentral
CGGACGGGUGAGUAAUGUCUGGGAAACUGCCUGAUGGAGGGGGAUAACUACUGGAAACGGUAGCUAAUACCGCAUAACGUCGCAAGACCAAAGAGGGGGACCUUCGGGCCUCUUGCCAUCGGAUGUGCCCAGAUGGGAUUAGCUAGUAGGUGGGGUAACGGCUCACCUAGGCGACGAUCCCUAGCUGGUCUGAGAGGAUGACCAGCCACACUGGAACUGAGGCACGGUCCAG